UGGUUACUCAGUUUGUGCUGUUUGUAGGUUUGGUGUCUGAUCUGUUAAAAUAGAGAGCAUCAGCUGUAAGAGCUGUGAAAUGAAAAAAGUGAAAGUAACAGACUAAAAACCCUGGUUUGCUUCUGUUGCUUUUGCUUUGUUAUUGAAAACAGAAGUAGAUGCUAGCACAAUAUUUUUAUUUUACAAUGAAUUUACAACUGUGAGAGGAUGUUCAUUAAAAAAAGAUUAAAAUAGUGAACAAAACACCUGUCAGUUGCUUUUGAAAGCUGCUCAGUGCUACUGAACUUGAUAGAUUUUAGUUCAGUUUAUGUUUAAAAAAUGCUUUGCUCUUCUGAUUUAUGAUGCAAUUAGAGUUUUCUUCUGUAUAAGUAUCUGUGUUUUAAAAGUGUUUCACAGAUAAAUGCAAUACACUAUUAUUACAGGAUGAGCUUUAGGAUCAAGCCUGCUGUACAUCUUUUAAAAACAGGCAUACAUGCCACUGUACAUCUUUUAAAAACAGGCAUACAUGCCAACAUUAAAUGUGUGUAUUUAAAACAUACAUCAUUAAUAUAUGUUUUAAAAUUCCUGUUGCUUGCUCAAAACCUUGUCUGCUCUCUUCUUUAUGGGUCAUAUCAUUUCAUCUACUUCCAAAGAGGGCUUCACAUUAAUUUUUAGGAGUUUUAUUUCUAUAAAAAAUGAGGGUUUCUUCACAUUUUAUAGAAAUAAGCUAUUUCAGAACAGUUAUAAUUGAUAUUUUUUUGAUGUCAACUUUUCAAGUUUUCCACAAAAUAUUUACUCAGUCAUUGAAGCCCAUGCUCAAAAAAUACUUGCUUUUGUCAUUAUGUUUGCUCAUGUCAGUCCAAACCAAUCCUUAUUGCUGGGUAACUGCUUUCAAUCAGAAUCACACAGCCAAAGGGAGCACUCGAGUUCUCCGAAACAUUAACUUUUCAUCAUAGAAUAGGAUCUUUGAUGGAUGUAGAUUCACAUAAUCACCUCAUAAAAUUGUUCAGAGUGCUGAUAAAAUUUGAAAUCUUUAGCACUUAUAUAGUUACUGAACUACUGAAAUGAAUCAUCUUUCAAACUGUACGUGGUGAGAAUAUAUAUUUGCUUAGUUACGAUAUAACAUAUUGGUUAUAGAAUUACUUUCUGAAUUCUAAACAAUGGGUAGUUUACCCCUCAUAGCAGUGCUCACUUUUGAAUUUUUUAAUACUUGGAUGUGUAACAUUUGUGACAUGUAAAAAAAAAAAUCAUUGUGGUUAUGGAUUAACUUCAGCUUUAUUACAUAUGGUACCAAAUAAGGAAAAAAGUUUGAAAUACAAUAUUACUUUUUUUAGCAUAUGUAGAGUUAGAGCCUUCUCCUGAUUUCUCACUGGUAUUGCCAUUAAGUUUGUAGGAAAAGGUUUUAUGUGAUUACAUAUCAACUCUAUUAAAUCACUUAAAAAAAUCCUCCUGGUACAAAUUACACUGAUUUUAAUAAUAAUAAUAAGUUCAAGAUGAUCUAUCAAUUGAAGCACACCUUUUUUUUCUAAUGCACCCACCAUUAGUGUCAUGGCAUUUCCUCACAUGAUAAUAAUUUCUCUCAAAAGUACCUAGCAACAUAAACCAAUCCCUAAAUGUUAAAAGAUUAAACUUCGUAAGGUAUAGUUGAUUUAUUUGUAAUUGCAGUGUGAGUUACUCUGGUGACUUGAGGGAUUUCCAGUUCCACUGGGGCUGAUAGGUGCUAAUCAACUUUUCCAUGUUUGGGAAACCACUACAUUAAACAAGAAUUCUGCCCCAAAUGGUUAAGGAAGAUUUUUUUAUAGUGUAUUCAGAACUAGUGAUUUUUUUGUUCACCUACUGAAUGCAAGGAAAGAUUUCUGUUCAUAUCCAAGGAGGAGCACAUUGAAACUGCCAGCAUUGAUCUGGACACAAAAAUAAGCAAUGAGUCCUCCCCAUCUACCACAUGCAGACAGGUCAUGGGUCAUAUACUGAAACAAAUCUCUUCCCAUAAUUAGGCUGAUUCCUUAACAUCAUUGUCUUAACAUCCCUGAUACAUUGAUUUAUACUGUAAAUAUCACUGAAAGAAAUAACAGCAUGCCUGAUGUUCACUAUUACAGGGCAGAGAAGACAGAUAAAGGACAAAUCUUUAGUUGCUAACUUGCUACAACUCCACUGAUUUUAGUGCAGUUAUGGUGAAGAAGAGCCUGACUUGUCCUCAUCUCCAUGAGAAAACAGUCAAUCUGCUUAGUUUUACUGAAUAAACUGAAUCAUAGUAUUAACUAGGUUGGAAAAGACCUCUGACAUUAUCGAACCUAACCUGUAUCAUUACAGUGUUCAACAAUUGGCAGGACAGAGAGAAACCUGAUUUUAUCCUCUGUCCAAACUAGAGACUAUAUUAUUCUGAUUCAUCCAUUCUCUACUUUCCAAUAAGUAGAAAACAGAGCAGAAUGAAGAUAAAGCUGGUUUCACUGGAGGCAGCCAGCUUUUUCAGUUAAAAGGACAAAAUUGAAUCAAUACAACUUUUACAAGGAGAGAUUGAAACUCCCCUUUCCCUCUCCUUCCAUUACUUUGAGAGUGGUUUGACACUGACCAUUAUCUUCCCUCCAACUUCCUUGCCUGGAGCUUUUUCUGCUGGGCAUCUUCACUCCAAAGAUUUUUGUUUGUUACUCAAGCUGGAAGGGGAGGAGAGGAGGGAGAUCAAACUGAAGCAAUGGAUCAGACCAGGGCCAGGCUUAGAAGGAAUUCAUCCACCAGAAACUUGGAGGGGAGAGAAGGCAAAAUGAAGGAUCCACUUUGCAUUUCUGUGUGCAGAACAGCUGUCAAGUAGUAGCUAUGCAGAGAGAUUUUCUAAAAGUGUGGGAAACUUUUUAAAAAUCAGGGAACUGCAUAAAUCAAAGUCUUUGAAAGGACACACUCUAUUCCUUUUCCUACAUCAUGCACUGAUUGUAUCUUGAAUUAAUAACAUCUCUUACAGAAAUGUUUUUCUUUUACUUGUGAAUAGAAUCAGCCAUUGUUGCAAUCUAUUUUAGACACCCUUAUUCCUUUCUUAUUCAUUAAUCUCUAACAGUCUCCAGAGCUUGUUGUUAUCUUUCAAGUGCUUUUUCAGAUACAAAUGUCAUGUUUUGUAUGUGAACGUCCUAUGAACUCCAUGCCUUUUGGUUAGUAGGACUCACUGGUGUCUAUAUAUCUUUAAACUCAAUAGGCUAUCAAGGGUAGGUUAAAAUAUUUGAUCCUUAGUUUCUCCUACUGUGAUGCAAAGAAAAGACCAGUUCACUUACUGUUAUCAAUGAACAUAUUUGGCUGCAAAGUCAGCUUUGUGAGUAAGUAAUUUAUUGCUUUAGCUGCAAAUUAGAAACUGGUUCAGGGGGUAAAUAGAGAUAGUUUUUAAUAGAGGUAGUUUUCUGCCUUAGGAUAUAUCUGCUCUGUGCAGGUAAAGAAAGGUCCGUUUUUUCUAUCUAAUCUAAUCUGGAUUGACAGAAGUCACCUCCAGUCCAAAAGUCAUGUUAGCGACCUUAUCUGUUCUGUCACACAAACUUCUAAAAUAUGGCCUCUUUCAUAGUUCAGAUACUUAAAAGCACAGAGAAGAUGUUUGGUCUGUCUGCACCUCUCUGUGUUAACAUGUUGUCAGUUACCCUCACAGCUUAGCAAAGCCAGUAAGGUUUAAAAUAUUGUCUCAAGUGCAGUGUGACUCUCACUCUUAUGAUAUGGGGAAAGACAUGCUGCUGAGAAAUUCUCUAUUGCAUCAUAUUUUCUAAGAAAAAGACACCAAAAAGCAUGGGAAUUUUCUCCUUCUCUGCAUGUGUCUGACAUGAAUUAUUCUAAUUGGAAUGUCCUCUCCAUCCACUGGAAGCUGUGUUACAAGUCCAGCUCCCAACAGCAUCUCCUAUGCUGCUCCCUCCCCUGUAUUAUUUCUCUCAGCCAAACAGGGUGCAGUGUAGCAUAAUUCCACAAUAAACAGAAAGGCAAAAAUAUGCCAUGCACCAGUACCUGCCCCAUUCCCUUUUCUCAGCAGCAGCUUAUAACACCUGUUCUCAGAAAGAUGUUCAGUUAACACGUGGUGAAAUGACCACAUCCUACUUGUCUUUUUUUCAUCUCCAGACCAUGCAGAACUGAAAGAACUACUUUAUUCUGAGUAACCCAACCCUCCUUGUAAACCUUGACAGAAAUUCUGGAUUCAAGGUCUCUAAAGGACAGUCAGUCUGUAGAAGUAUCAAUAGAUUGCACAGUGGAGAAGAGUUACUUCAGAAAUCUAGAUGUGCAACUGCAUUCAGUUCCUGCUUUAAAUCCAACCUGGAUCCAAAUAGAUGUAAAAACUGAGGUGUGAAUUUCAAUAUGCUGGUUUAUACAGAUACGUUUCUCUACGCUUAUGUUGGAUGCAAGACAGGCUGUGAAACUUACUGAAACUUGGGACCAUUUUAAUACCCAGUCUCAGGGUAGUAGAUGAUGUUCUAUUUACUCUUCACCUAACCUCAAAGAGUAGACUUCUCCAGGUGUGGGAGGAUGGUUAUGUUUGGAAAACAAUGUUUUGAUUAGCCUUAAUGUUAUUGUACUGAAAGUGAAAUUUUUACUUUGUUUUGCUUUCCUUUUAGUUUAGCAGUUUUUCUACCUGGACUUAAUCAUAUGCUGCACAAAUCACAUAAAAGUGUGAAGUAAUGUGCUUGGUAAAGAACAACAAAAAUCAUUCUUUCAUGUCAAAAUUAGAGAAAUCAAGCUUUUAUUAGGAAUAAAAUGGGACAAUUUUAGGAAUAAAAUGGAACAAUUUUAGGAAUAAAAUGGGACAAUUUAUGUAAAAGUUUUGAGGAAGGACCUGUUGGUUUAUGAAGAUCUUUUCAUCAACUGCUUUCCAUGGACAUCCUCAGGGAAUUCUAACAUCCAGAUCAACUAAAUCCUUGUGGAGUAGGUAACUUUAGAUCCACAUCAGUCUGAAUUAAAAAUCUAGAUGUUGUGUGAGAAAUGGUGAGAAAUAUGUAAGAGCUGUUAAAAAUAUUAGCAGGAAUGUUUCUGUAAGGAUGACAUAUGUCCUGUCUCUUCAUGUGGGAGUUUACAGAUCCCCUCUGGUUCAGGAUCAUACAGGAUAUUUGCCUUCUAACUUGGGUAGGGCUCCUUUUGGCCACACUGUUUGGGGAGAACCUUUCCCUGCAAUCAUUAUAUCUUCUGCUUUGUAGUGUUGAUUUAUUUUUUUCAAGAAAAUAUUCAUACUAAUGGUCAUUUUAGAUUGACUAUGUGCAGGUAGAGUUUCCUCUUGUAUUCAUCUUUGCAAAGGUAGAGUUUAUUUUGAGCAUCAUUUGAAGUUUCUAUAAUUCUGAGUAUUCAUUUGAAGGCGGUUAUUUAUCAGGAUAUUUCUUGGCUGUUUCUGGCCAAAAUCCAUGUAUUUUGAAAGGAAAGGAAGUGUUUUCUCACAGAAUAUAAAUACAGUCACCAAAAAAAAAAGGGUUGGUAACAUAUAUUUGAUACCUGCAGCAAAGUCUGCAUCUUACCUCCUUGCAUCUCUGAAUAUGGAUACCAGGAACCCCCUACAGAAUGCUGGAUUGAGCAUUUUCCCUGUGCACUCUGCCACUGCUCUGUGCCCAGGCUGCUUUUAAACUGUAGCUCUGGAUAAAAUAAUUCAUUUUAAGAUGACAAAAAUUUGGUAUGACAAAAUAUGCUUCUGAAAAAUGACUACACUUGUUCAUCUGAGUAUAGGUGUGGAGAGAAAAGCAUCACCUACUCCCCAAUGUACUGUGGUGCUGAGAAUCUAGGAGGCCUUGCUGUUGGAAUAAGAUAUUUGCAGACAUGAAUAAUCAUUGCCUAAAAUUCUAUAGAACAAGAUUUAAUAACAAUAUGUCAGAAUGACUGAAUGAAAAAAAAAAUCCAUGAUAAUUACUGAUUGGAAAUAACGCAGUCAUUUUUAGUCUUUUGAAUCUUAAAUUAUUUGCUCCAUUUUUGAUGCAUUUUUGAUGAGAAUUCUUUGGCCAUUUAUAUUAAUGAGAUAUGUGAAAUACUUGGUGAUUUUGUAGGGAUAUAUGUAUCUGAUUAUGUGUAGAUCUAUUUGAAACAUUGACAUUGACAAAGCAACUGAAUCUGUUCCAUUUAAUGCAAAAAUAAUAGCAUAAAUUGGAGAUAUUAUGCUACAGUUUUAUUGCCUACUAUGCAUUUUAGCUCAUAAUAAAAAUACUUACAGAAUUACCUUGGGGAAAAACUGCAAAAGCAGCCAUAAAGCUCAUUUUGCAGUCUUAUCUGUAUAUCUGCUUCAUGUUACUAAAGCAGUAUGAAGAAGCACAAAUGAGACUAUUCUGUUUAUAGAAGUGAAAAAUGUCCUUCCAAAGUCUAGUUGGUGAACUUUUAGAAAUAGGCCAAUAGUAGUUUGACUGCAUGUGUAUGCAUUUGUGUACAUUUCAUGAAGAAAGAGGAAAAAUUUAAAAUGAAGCCUUUGUGUACCAAAUUUUAACAGUAAGUAAAUUUUAACAGAUAAGGUAUCUCAAAAAAACAAUUACAACAUGGAAGGUCUGACAUCAGUACAAAUAGGUAAUUUUAAUGUUUCUUUUUAAAAAAGGUAUUACUGGUCAAUGUCUCUAAAUUAUGCUACUGCCAAAUAAUAUAUAUUUUCAUAUUAAAAGGUUUCAGAUUGAUUAUUUCAGUUACAGUUCAGAUUGAUUAUUUUAUACUUGCUUGUAAGCAGAUUGAUAGAUUCCAUAUGUGCAUUUGACCAAUUUUUGAAUAUAUAUAUAUAUAUGAAGAGAUCUUGACUAUUUCUUGAUAGAUAUCUACCCUUAUUUUGAGAACACUUUCAGUCUUCCACUAAUCACUCAAGAAAGGAUAAGUUACAUUACAUGAAACAAAUCCUUGUUUAGACAACAGGGCUUUAAACAGCUUUCAUAAAUUAGAAGGAAGGAUAGUGAUCACCGAAAUGAGUCAAACCAAAAUGGAGUUUUUUGAUGCUCCCUAAGGAGGCUUGUUCCUUGCAGCUAAAACUUCUGGAUUUGAAGUGGCAGAGUGGAAUUAGAGAAAUUUGAGAAAAUAUAGUUGAGAAGAAAGGGCAGAAAGGUUUGCUUAGUGGUCAACAACCAAAUUAUAAGUAGCAAGGUAAGGAGGACCUCAAUUUUUUUUUUUUUAAUAUAAAGCACAAAAGUUAGGAAAAUAAUUACACCUGAGUGUUUCAGAGAAUUAGAUUUCUAUAUGUCGUAUGUCAAUCUACAUUUGAGCAUGUACUCCUGAGCAAGGAGAGGAAAUGUAGCAUUCCCUGCUCAAAACCAAAUUUUGUAUUUCUGUGUGAUCUAAUGGGACCUCCUUACUAAGCUGUGAUUCUUCAGAUGGUCGUAGUGACAGAGGGGCUAAUUUCAGCCUAGAUAUAUCUGAAAAAUGUCACCAUAAUGUUUAACCUGUGUUCUAGCAGUUUGAUCUGUAGCCUUCUUGUAUUGUAAAUAUUUUAGAUUUCUUUGUUUCUCAUUAAAGAGAGUAUUCUGGAUUUUAUACAUCAUGAUGAAGUUUGAACUAAGGCAGUGUGUGCGUUAACAUUUGUCUUGCAAAGUUAUAUUUAUGAAGAAAUUAUCUGAAUUUCUUCCAUUGAGAAUAUCCCACUUGAUGUGAAAUAACAUUCCUGGGGAAAGUAUCACUUUCUACAAGUGGUAAAGCAGUGGUACACUUUACAUUGACAUACUUACUGCUAGUUCCUUUAUAUAAGAAUACUUGUGGUUAAUAUCCUGAGACUAUUAGCUAAUCUGCAAUCGAUAUCACACUAUAUUUCUUCUGUAUUUUGAAUUGUUUAUAAGUUUCUUUAUUAUUUCCCUGUCAGACAGGUGCCAUUUGUCAGCAACAUCAAUUAUAUAAUUAAAAGAAUCACAAAUAAAUAGACAGCAGGAUUGACAUUCAGGAACUCUCACUGUGAUUUCUUUCCUUUUUAAAAUUAGAAAAUCUAGAAAAUGGUAAAAAUGGUUAACUCAUGGGUUGUUGUGAGAAUGAGUAGAUUGAAAAAGUAGCAUCCAGUGCUAAAGUGGUGAGGCCAUAUGAUGAGUAUUGAGAGGCAGACAUCAAGAUGUGUAUCUCUUAAUCUCAUUGUCAAAACCCAGGUUUGACACUUGAGCAUGGUGAGUGAUAAUAGCUUCAAACUGUUGAGAUGUUUUAAACCAAAAAGUCACUCUGGAUCUAGAUAGAAAGGUGCUUGCAUUAGUCAGCAUCCAAGACUCCUUGUUUUUUACUAGGAAUAGCAUAUAUUUUCUUGUCGAGAAAGCAGGUGGUUUAAUCUCAUGUUACAAUAAAAAUCUGUUUUAAAAUAAAUUACAGAUUUUGACUGUAGCAUGGUGAGUACAUUAUUUUGUACUUUUAUACACAAUCUGCAGUUACAAAUGCUUCAUAUUACCUAUUCUUCUUAAGACAAACCUUGCAGUUUCUUCUUUGUUUGUUAUGAAGAAUGUAUUUGAACUCAUAUGUAUAUAUGUAUAGAGAAGUAUGCACUCCUUUAUGAGAUAUGUAGUACAUAGGAUGCAUUUAUACAUAUAUGCAAUGAAAUAUGUAUGGGAAAUAAUUUUAGAUUUAAAUUUAUGGUGAACUAAGUGCAGGUAGAAGAAUUUGCCGUAUUUCAUAGGCUGAAAAUCAAAAAAAUUACCUUAGGUGGUUAUUUGAAAUAUUUCAAAUACAGGGCUUAUUUCUCAGUCUCUUACUCAUGUGAAUAGUUUUUUAAUACAACAAAUUUGUAAUAAAAAUGCAUUUUUAAUUUCAGCAUGAGGUGCUUUUUUGUUAUUAAAGUGUGGCAUUUUCCUAUGGAUUUGAUUUUUCCAUACAUAAGAAGUAGAAAUAAUUUUAAUUUAAAAUUUUAGAAUAAAUUAUAAAUAAUUUGAAAUAUUUUUUCUUAGUUUAAUGUUGUAUAUAGGGUUUUUCUUGUUAUAUUUCAAUAAUGAUGCUCUGCAAACACAUUUUUCUCUGUUAUAUCUGUUAUAUAUAUAUAUAUAUGUUAUAUUUCAAUAAUAAGUAUAUGCCUUAUAUUACUUCAAUUCUUUCUCUCUCUGGUCAGUCUUUCGUCCUCAUUGCUGAAGUCACUAAAUGGAGCCAAAUCAGUUAACUUGCAAUAAUCAUUUUGGAGAUGGAUUCAGCCCCUGAUCCUUGGGUAGAUCAGAAAACUGUAACUUUUCUACUGGUUUUUCUCAGUUGAAGUCUAAUGCACUGUAGUAAAUACAGAGCAUCUAAUGUAUAACAGAGAUUUACAUAUGCCCAUCACUUUACUUCCCCAGAAUACUGUGCACAAAGCAGCAUUCCAAAUAUAGCAACCAACACAAAAGUGUAGGCUGUUUUUAUGGAAGCAGAGAACUUCUGUGUAUUACCAAUAAAUGGAAGCUUCAUUGUGUACCCAUAUAUUACCAUGAAUUUGUGCUUCUAGCUUUUUUCUGAAUGGAGACUAAAUUGCUGAAAAUAAUGUCAUUAAAAGCUUUUAUUCAGAUCUCUUUUAUCCAUGCCAGGUUAAACUUGUAUCUCAUAGACAAAUGCUUGAAUAGAAGUAUCUGAACUAUUAUAAUUAAGUAAAAUCCUGAGUAGCAAAUUCUUGCUCUUAUGAAUUUUAUUAAAUGGUGCAAUUUUGUGUUAUUUGUAGAACAAGGUACAGUAGUUGCAACAAUUCUAUUGGUUAUUAUUUUUAAAAUUAGAUUUUCUGCCUAAAGGCUUUACAGUUCAGGGCUGUUUCUCUUUGUACCACUUCAGAAGUGGCCAGAGAAAGGCUGGCAACACAGGGAGCAGCAAUCUUACUCGAGUUCUCUGCUGCUGAGAAGGAACAAGGAGCAGCAGGUCAAUAUUUAUGGCAGCUCAUACUUUCUGCACUCUGCAUGGCAUCCCAAUCCGGGAUCUCUGAUGGGAGGGAGAGGGAGGAGAUUCGGUGCAAUGCCCACGUGAAUAAAAAGCAGAACUGAGUGGGUUCUCCAGUAAGUGUUGAGGAGGUGGCAAAUGAGAUAACAUUUGCAUGCAACAGCAUGACUAAGCACGAGUGUUUGUGCUGUACAGAUAGGUCAGCCGUGCCCAAUAGCAUUGCAAUGCGGGCACAUUUUUAAGGAGGGCUUAGAACUAAGUCGUUAAUCACAGCAUGGUUUGUUAAGGACCUGAUAAUGUCAGCAGAGUGGAUAAAAACAAGAACAAACAUGGGAUGGAGGAGAGCAGAUAACACCACCAAAAAAUUAAACUGUUUAGGAUUUUCUGUGCUUGCCAUGUCCAGGGAAGUAUAGUUAUUCACUGCUUUGGAUGAUAAGUGAACACUUGAAAACCAGCUGGUUUCAAACAAAGAAGCUUGGCGAUGCAGGACUACAAAGAAAGAUCCUCUGUAUUUUAGAAGACUUGAACUAUGAGUUUUGGGGCAGAUCUCAGAGGAAACAUUUCAGCAAAUUAGGGCACAUCAGUUCAGUUCCUAGAUAUUGAUCUUUGUGAUCCAGUUUAGACACCUUCAUUUGAAAAUGCAGUUUAAGCUCUAGUGAUUAUUUGCAUGCUAUUUAUCCUCAACAUAAAAUCCUUUUUGAUGUUUCUUUUAUGUUUUUUAAGUUGUAUGAUCAGUCUCUUCAUGGAGAUGAAUCCAGACAUGUCUAAAUCAUGUGGUUUGAUGUGCAGUGGACUCAGAUAUCCAGGAAGCUUCUUGGAAAGUACAUUAAAUUACUUCACACUGAGAGAACAGUUUUUAUAGUCUUGGUUUAUGAACAAUCUCCCUCAUUCAUGUUCCAAUAAAGACUAGUUUUACUCUGCAGGAAGUAUGAAGCAUUAUUUAACACCAAAUGAUUCACAGUGUGUUACUGCUGUACUACACAGUUGUACAUUUCUGAGGAAAAAUUAACUUAAUAAUAGUUUUAUUACUUUAAUCCCAUGAUAAUUGAGUUCAUAAAUUCUUGCUUUGCAAUGUAUUUGAGAAUGGUUAAGAGAGUGUAAUUUUAAAAAUUGUUGGAACCCUGUGUUAUCUCCGGCUGUAUAUUUUUAAAGAAAAGUAAUGUCAUUCAUAUUUUCUGUGCCUUUCUUUUCAGCUGUGGUCUUUUUGCAAAACAUUUCUCUAAGCUGAAACCAUAGUUCCUGAAAAAUUAUAUAGAGGAUUUUUGCUAAAGGUCUUCUUGGCUCAUUAUGCAAAAGAGAAAGGAGAAGAAAAUUAACAAGUUAGAAUUGAGGUUUUGCUUAUUUUUCUUUUAUGGUUAUGUAGAGAAACUGAAAACACAAAUUUUUCACAGAACUAAAACUCAGGAAUUCAGGGGUUGAUAGAAAUGUGAACUGACAGAAUAUAAUAAGCCUUCACCUGACUUAAUGCUUUCUGGUUAUCUUUUUUAAUAUCCAUUUUACUAUUUGAUGAAUCUUUUAUACUUGAAUCAUGUAAUGCUAAUCAUGUACUUGAAUCAUGUAAUCCUAAUGCUUGCAAAAAGAAAAAAAAAAAAAGAAAGAAAAAAGGAGUAAAUUUCUAUAUUCUUACCCUAAAUAUAUUCCUUUAAUAUAAAUUUAUCCUCUUGUCAUCCUCAGUAGCUUGCACUUUUCAAGAGUGCAUGGAAGGUUUAAAAGCGGAAAAAAGUGCCAAGCUCUCUUAAAGCUGGGAUCCAGAGAAAUUCAAUAGUGGACACAUUCUAAUUGAAAAUAUUCAUGUGACAACCCAUGUCUUUUGAAAUUUUGAAUUUUUGAAAGCUCUUUAAAAAGAAUUCUGCUAAGCUAGUACAUGUGUUAAGACGCAGAGAGAUGUUUAAGGCCUAAAAGUAGAUAAAAGUUGGAUAUCUGAACUUCCUGUCCUUCUAUAAAGACAUGAAUUGCACUCUGGUUUUUCAUACUGACAGAUAUGUGCAUGUUUCCUCCGGCACAUCUUUUCCAAAUACUAAACAUCUUGUUUCCAAAACAUUGCUUUACAAUGACAGCAGAGAGCAACUCAAGUUAUUGUUUGGUAAUUUCAUGAUAAUUAAAAUGCACUCCAGACUGGGUAUGCUUUGGGGAAGUCAUUAAUCUUCCUUGAAUUAUCAUGUCUUUGAAUGCACAAAUGUCCAUUAGGUGUAUGAAAUUAAUCAUGUAAAAUGAUAUAUCUAACAAAUUAAGGUGGUCAUGCUCUCUGUGAAAUGAGGAAAGCAAAUACACUACAUAUUUGCUUUCCAUAGUACUAUGAUUAUUUUAUUGCAAUAGAUGUUGGGAUUUUCUAAAAACUAGUUUUGUCUGUAGAUAAUUUUUAAUUUUAAUUGCAAAUCUUCCUGCACACACCCAUUGCACACCCUUAGAUCCCCACCCCCAAAAAAGGCUGGUAUGCGAUCCUAUUUACAGCUAAUUCGGCUUGUUUUGUGGAAGAUCAGCCAGUGCUAAAUGCUCAGUAAGUGUAUUUCCCUUAGUGUCUGUCUGUUCAUGUGUUUGACACCAUCAGCUAUUUGUCAUUCAGCAGGAUAGAAAGUAUCUCAGAAAGUGCUAUUUUAAAUUAGAAUUGAAAGCUUAGAUGUUUUUUACUUCAGUCACCAUAUCUGUCAUCCUGAAGUCCUCAGAAAUGCCAUGUCUGUCAAUUGGAGUGAGAGGAGGAUGGGAGCAACCUCUGAGUAGCUCAGUGUUACCUUAUUUCUUGUCUUCUGUGUAAACCAACACGUUAAAGACCAAGUUGUUAUACUAAAGUGAGAGUUAAAAUUAACUUUUAAAAAUGCCUUUCUUGAUGUUAUGGUAGCAGAUAGUGUUUUAUUUCAAUCAAUGAAUAAAACACCAUUUGUUGAUGCUACAUGUUUUAAGUUUUUUCACUUACCCUCCUAGAAGUAGUAGGACAUUAAAAAUUAAAUAGCAAAACUGAAUUCAAACUUCUGUGAUUUACAACCAUUGCUGAAGGGGACAGAUUCAUGAGAAGGACUGGGCUGGGAUUAACUAAAGCGAUUGUCCUUCAAAUUAUUAUGACUAUAUGAUAAGGUACUGGAUUAGGAAGGUGUGAAUUUGUGAUAUGCAGUGGAUGUGUAAUAGGCUUAAAGAAGGAAAGAAGGACUGUUUGUCAAAUGUAUGUCAAAAAUAUCAUGACAGCCUCAUAGUUUAAGAUUAUGUUUCAAAAAUCUGUUUUAAAUGAAGUUGAGUCAAAAUGAUCUGAAGGUUGCCUACAGAGCUCUUUAAUGGUGAUUUAUUUUGUGGUUGUACAUUGUAAUAAUGAAUAACAAAAAGCUUCCUGGAGCAAGAAUGAUCUAAGUAUUGUAAAUGUUAGCCACCAAGACAAUAUUUGUCCACAAAUUCUGGAAACACCUCUAGGGACUCUAAAUAAAAAGAAAGAAAAGAAACUAUGACUAAUUAUUAAUAUCCACAACUAAAUUGGUAUAAUUAAUUGAAAAAUAAUAACUGUCAAAGCAAACUAAAAAAGGUACCAUUUCUGCCAAUAUUUAUUGGAUUAGAUCUUCCUGUUUUCUCUAAAUUGGGUACUGCAGUGGUGCUGCCUUUUCUUCUGAUAGCUGUGUUCACAGGCUGGAUGUACACAGCAGCCCUGUCCUCAUUUAAAGCUCUGUCUGACCUGACUUUAACCUUCAGUCUGGUGCUGGCUCCAUGGGACAGACGGACCACUGGCCUGGGAGCUGCAGCUACGACAGUGCCGGGCAUGUUAGCAGGGUAUGUUGCUCUGGAGACAGACAACCUCUUCCCUCCCCUUUCCCUGUGUAUAUUUAAAAUACACUCAGUGCUAUGUACACAUCAUCAGCAAAGCAAAUUUCAGACAGCAGAGACUAUGAAUAAUAUUUUCAGUUUAAUCGAAAUGAAAUUUAGGCUAAAAAAAACCUCUCUCUUAUUAUUCCUUCUUCAAAUAUUUUAAAUUAGGUUAAUACACGCUGAGGCAUUUUACCUGUCAAAUUCAAAUGAAAGCAGUGAACCAUAUGCUGGUUAUUUUUCUGAAUACCUGUUUCAUGUGAAAGCUAUUUUUGAUAAGAACACACAGUUGUGAUAAUUUAUAGAAUACAUUUAUAAUGUAUAUCUACUCAGGGUUUGUCCUGCAUUUUCUGCCAAUUUACAUUUCUUCAUUAAGAAUCCUGAAUUAUAUUCUUCAUUGUUUAAGCUAUCAGGUGUUUAGAAUACAUAAGAAAUGCAAAACAUGCCCUCCCUAUUGUUAUCAGGAAAACAGUGAUCUUCAGACAAUAUGAAUAAAUUACUGUUUUUCAAAGAGUAGAAAGGUCAGAUUUUACCUCUCUGUUCUUUGCAAAGUGAAAUUGUCUGCUUGCUCCUGUUAGUUUAAUAAGACCUAUUAAUAAUAUAGAACUUUCUGGCUAGGAGAAAAAAAAUCAAAUGUCAAAGGACUUUCAGUCCCUUUUCAGAUGAUGCACAAAUUUAUCCAUUCACAAAAUUACAUUAUGAACAUGAGACACAAAAUAUUACCAUUUUGUUUUGAUUAUGGUUUUUGUUUUGUUUUGCCUGGUUUUGUUUGCUUGCUGGGUUUUUUUUACUGGCACAUGUGUAGUAAUUGAAAGACCAGUUUGGUUUAAACAAAUCCUGUAGGCAAACUGCUGCAUCACACUGGCUGACUGUUUUAAUAGUUGUGAAGAAAUGUAGAUUUCCUUACAACUUUCUGGGCAAUUAAUUUGUAGUAAAAUCACCUCUAGGCUUGUUCUGCAAUCUUUAAGCUUUCCUUGAUCAUAUGCUAGCAGAGAAAAAUAUCUUAGCAAAGGCAAUUGGCUUUGGGACCCUUUCUGCCUCAGUAAAGAAGUGAUGUGUCCAUCCCCAGGAGACAAAAGGCCUGGAGACCUUCUGCAGUACUUGGGCUGUUAUCUGCUGCCCAGAGGAGAUGAAUAUCUCAAAAUGAUGAUUGUCUGCUGCAUUGAACACACACAGAAAUGUGUUUUUCAAGGUUAUCUAUGAGUUGACUGAGCUGUAGUGCUUUUCAUCUAUUCACUACUUUAUUUCUCAUUAGGAAACUUCAGUCUUCUGUGGUGAGGUAAUGUUGGAUUUUUGUUCAUUUAAAAGAUAAAUAAUUAAAGUUGCUGACCAAGGCACAAAUAUUCACCUUCUUUUUACUGGUAAUUAUACAGAUGUAGAUAAAUUUUCUAACUUAUUUAUAGUUGUUGUUCAGUUUAAAAAUUAUUCAAGGAAAUGUACAAUAUUGUGGUAAUUAUAUAUGGUGCAACAUUGACUAUCUCCGUAAAUAACAGAGGUAAUUGAAUAUAUGGUAUAAUUUUUUAUACAAGCAUUUAUAACAGUGACAAAUUGAAAAGUACUAUAUUUUAGAAGUUCUUCUUUGAGAAAGGCCAGACAAAAUGAAUUGAUUUAGCAAGAAACAAACUUUUCCCUUGGAAUAAGUUCCUAUUGUUUCCAAGAUAAAUGGUGAAAAAGCUGUACAAAAUUGCUAAGAGGAAAAGGGAUAUGAACUAUUCUUCUGAAGCAGUCUGCAUUUUUCAGCCCUGGAGGUUACUCUAGCUACAGCUGCCAAUGCAGAAGUUAUCUUGACUUCCAGGCUUUCAGUUCUUUUCUAAAAAGAUUUUUAUCAGUAAUAUUUCUCAGUGAGCAAGAGAAAGCUCAUCUGUUUGAGAGACAACUCAGUUACCCUCACUCAAGGUCAACUAAACUUUGGAAUUUUCUUUAGCCAAAGGUUCCAACCUAACUUACUAAAAGAAGCUUUAUCAAGCUUUAGAAUGUGAAGCCAUCAUAAUUCCCUUGUAUUUAGAUCCCUUUUGGUAAACAACUAGAUGUUCAUCAUUAUCCAUCUUUUCAAAGACAGUAAAGUCUAACUUUUCUCCUCACAAGUUGCCUGAUUGCGCUAAAGAUGGCACCUUAUUUAUUUCUAAAUAUGUUUCCACACAUUACAGGAAUCAGUGUAGAAAAGAAUAAACCAUGACCAGGAUUCAUGUCCAGCUCCUGGCUUUGUGAAAUUGGUCCCAUCUGCACAGAUCUGUUAUGACUGCAAUGACUGGAGAUUGAGAAAGGUUAAAGACUGAUGAAGAGAGUAUAAUUGUGUAAUUUUCCAGCAUUAUUCUUCUUGUAUACUUAAAAAAUACUUGUUCAAGGAGAAAGGCUGGAUGUCAGACUGACAUUUUCAGUUGGGACCAGAAUAAACCAAAUAUGAAAUUACAUAUGCUUUUCUGACCAGUCUUUAUAAAAAUAUUUUGCUUGAACUUUUACUGCCAAAUGAGACUGUAACAUUGUCUGUCCUAAAAACUGAUAACAAAGGUUUUCCUAUGGCACUAGUGUUGGUAAUAAUAUGCCUCACCUUUUUAGUGGUUUAAAACUAAACACUUGAAACUUCCUGACCAUUAAUUUCUAAAGAUACAAUCUCCAAAGAAUUUCAUGCUGCAGGGUGAUAGGCACAUUUCUUCUCUCCAGGAAAACAAUCACAGGAAUGUGUAAAUUAAAGGACAAUUAUUUCCAUUAAAGUCUGAAUACUUACAGAUCAGUUAAGUGAACUUUGUUUAAACUUAGAAAAACUGAAAGCUAGAAUAGAGUCAGAGAAACUAUUACUUGGUAGGGUCAAAUACAUGAUUAGCCAUUCAGUCUAAUUGAUGGUGUUGUCUUGGGUUUACCUAGAAAAUUAUCAGUAGUGAAGAUGACAGGUAUGAAUAAACAUGAGUGAAAAUCAACUCAGAGACUUCUCAUCAGUAGCAUGUGGUGUCACUGUAUUAUGGCACUAAAAGUAAGAGAUGUUUGCAAGACACAUUCAUUAUAAGAAACCCUUAUUUAAACCAGGUUUGAUGUUGCUUCCAGUGUACCCAGAAAUGUACAUUAGUCAUCAUUAUAAAAUCAACCUUUCCCAACAAUUACCAGAGUGAUACAUGGAUACUGCUGUUGUUUCAUGGACACAAAAAAAGCAAAUCCAUCCCUGCUAUUUCUGAGAUGAAAAGCAUAAAUAAAUCCUGCAGAACUCUGAGCACAUGGCUGUGGUAGAGAUGAGGUAAUGACUGGAUUGCUGUAGAAAUUUAUGGAUCUUCAACAAACCAUGUUAAAAAUGUACUGUAUUAAUAUGCAGAGUAAGAGUGGCUCUUCCAUAAGAAAAAUCAAAUUAGGAAAUUAAAUUAUUGUGGGUUACUAUUGUGGUCUUGUUGGUACAAAAAUGUCGUCUGAGAUGAUUCUUCCUGUUACAGAAUGUAAUAAAGUAUUUGGGCUCUGUACAGCUGUGUUCUGCUGUGGGGCUAGUGAAGAAAGGAAUGCCUUCAGAAUAGCUCCUGGCUUUUUUGUGAGUCUGGCAGCCUAAGGAGUGCUUAAAAAGAAAUAUUAUCACCUCUGGAGCAGGCAUGAGCAAUUACUAGGUGUUUUUGAGGUGCUAUUGUAUCAUCAGUUCUGAAAAUUCUACUUUUUUUUUUUUUUUUCUGAUUCUUAACUUUCCUUUUGGAAAGUUCUAUGAACCUUCCUUGUGGAAGGUCCAUAGAAAUCUCAUCCCAAAAUUACUUGCAGCACUUGGUUGCACUUAGAGGCUUAAUUUCAAUGAUUUCAUAAAUACUGGGAUGAAUAAAAGAAUGUGUACUAUAUAUAUAUUCAAGGUUAAUGAAGGUUCACUGAAAAUAAUAGAUAAAUGUAAUUCUGAUUUUUCAAAAAUAUCACUCCAGUAUUCGUGGUAUUGUCACUAAUAUUUUGGCAGCCUCAGAAGUUCAUGACAAUGUCAUAUCAGUCUGUGCUAAGGGGACCCUUCAUCUGGAUAAGGGUCCAUUUCAUCUGGAUACUCCAUUUCAUAUCCUUGGCAAAUCAAAACCCCUUUUUUUUCUCAAAACUUAAUUAAACAGAGUGGUGUGAAAUUGGUCUGAUCUGCACAGAUCUGUUAUGAUUCUACAGAUCCAUCUGGUGGGACUGAAAAGGGGUACAUGCACAUCAUUUCUUGGUUCUCAGCAGCUGAGGACAAUUGUUGAAAUUCGAUGUGGGUAAUCUUAUAUUUGCCACAAGCUUAAGCAGUUUUGGCAUCUUUGACAACAAAUUGUUCAAGGAUAUUACUUCUAUCUUGCCACUCUUUUUUUCCCCCCCCAAUGUAAUUUCAUCAGAAUUGCUAUAGGCAACUUGAAGACUUAUCUUUCCAACAAUUUUUCCUUCAACACUGCAAGGAACACCCACACUUGUAGUUCUUUGUAUUAUUAUCCUAUUAACUUCUUACAAUCUUAAUAUUACUGAUCACAGAUAAAACCCCCCUUUAUUUCAUUACUGAAAUGUAAUAAUACAAAUUACCUGGGAAUUAUGAGGUAGGAGGAUAUAAAUGAAACAUUAUUUUAAUGAAUUGUAGAUGGAUGCAAAAACCUCACCUAAAUAAAAUAUAAACUUGCUAUAAUUAGCAUCCCCCAAGGCUUUGUGUUAUUAUGUUGCUAUAUUGUCACCUGCUUCUGUUAAAAAGGUGUCUUAGAAGAAAAUACUAAUGUGGGAAUCACAAGAUACUUCCUCAGAUAUAGAAAUCCUGAAGAUUACACUCAACACCCUGAAAGGGUUUCUCGUUCCCAUAAAGGGGCUUGAGUUCCACAGAGAAAUAACCCUUCUGCAAUGGAAGCAGAACUCCACAAAGCUCUGAUCGAAGUGCCAGACUGGCUGGCAUACACUUGAGUAUGCCACGGUUUUGGAUACACUUGAGUUUUUUAUGGGGAAAAAAAAUCCUGAACUACUUAAUUUCCUUAGAGUCCAUUUCAAACAAAUCACAGACAAUCUAUUUUAUCUGCUGUUUGUUCUGAAAGUGGCUUCUUUCAGUAUGCCCUGCUAAAAUUGUAUCCCAUUACUCCAGCAAACAGAUUAUCCAAAACAUAUUACAAUACAUCUCCUAUCCUUUACACAGCUCCUAUUCUACAUGGCAAUAUGCACUUCUAAGAACAUAAAAUGUACUUUGGUGUCAAUAUUUAAUUAAUAGCCUUGGGAUUUUGCAAUACUCUCUCUUCAGCUGCCUAUCAGAGAUAUUGUAGAAAGUAAUAUAUUUUUAUAAAAUUUCAGCUUGUUCACCAAAAGGAUUUGCAGGUUACAACCUACUUUUCAGACUUUUUGGAGUAACAAUUACAUCUCAUGUUCUAUUUCAAGGUGAAAUAACUGAUAAUGUAAAGUAAUUUUAAUAUUUUGUCUGGUUCUCUUGGAAACAGCUUCAUUAACAGUCUGUUACAGAAUAGUGUAUUAAUCUUAACACCUAUUGGGUUCAGGACCUCUCGAUACAAGUAUAAGUAAAAUUCAGUCAUAUGAACUUUAUAAUCUCUAUUUGCAUGGGUUUUGUCACUUUCCUUGUUGGGAUGAUUUUAUUGUUUAUUUGUUGAUUUCUACAAUCCAUUGUAUAAAUCCAAUGGAUUUAUACAAUCCAUUGUACAAAAAAAUUGGUGCUAAACUUUCCUUCUCCCCCUGUUCUGUAACAUGAGAUCAACAACCUGCUCCCUCUCUGAGCCUCUAUGACUUAAAAUUUGAGUUAAACCUUUUGUGUUUCUCCAAUUCUAGUAGAGGAAUUCCUACCCUCUUCUACAAUAAACACCAGCUCUCACUUUCCAUCUAAAAAUUCCUUUAGUUAAUGUCUUUUAAACUUGAAGGUAUCGUGUCUUUUUGAAAUCCCUCACUGGAAAUGGUGGUCCAUGUUACUGGUCCUUUCUUGGAUCUCUGGUAGUUGUGGAAGAGGUUUUUGUAAGUUCACAGCCUUCUCACACAUUGCUGUGUUAAUAAGGACUUUAUCUGUGGCCACUGAGAAACUUACUGUAGCUCUGAUCUAAUUUUUACAAAUUUCUUCUGCUCUUGCUUUAAAUUACCUCAGUCAUUUCAUUUUUAUAUCAUGAGCAAUUUAAUUUUUUCCUGACUUGGUCUAAUGAAAAUUGUCAUUUCCAAUUUCCCUUCUUCAUCUUAUGCCAACAUUGUUUUCUCCUCUCAGAUCAGCAAUAUUCUGGGUUUUCUGGUGGUGGCGGUGGGAUUUUUGGGUUUUUUUUUUCAGGAAAUUCUUUUCUUCUAGUAUAAGAGAAAAGUCACAGAGGGCUCACAUAAAUUCUAGUGCCUGUUAAAUUACUGCAGAUGUAAAAUGUGUUCCAGGGCUUGGUAGGACUAAAAUGAGACAGAUUUCUACUGACAAUAUUGUACCCUCAUGCCAAUAAGAAAAUUGUAAAUAUUGUUUCUCUUGACUUCUUUACUAAGUUGUAUGUGUGAUUUUUUGAGCCAUUUUAGACUUUAUAAAAUAUUUGUCAAGUUAACUGCAUUCCUCAGUAAAAUGUAGUUCCAGAGUUUUUCUUAGAAUUAAUUUUUACCACUCCUACUGUCUUUCAUUUCAAGAUUCUCACUGGCUUUAUUACUGACUUCUGUUAUUACUGUUUUUUACUGACUGGUAGUGCCUACUGAUUUGAUUUUCCAAUAUGUUCACGUCUGUAUUCUUUGCUUUAAAACAAUAUACACAGCAGAUAAAUGGAGUGUGAUUUAUUAUUCCUGUGUAUAUCUAUUAUAAAACUCGAGGAGUGAUGGUUCACCAAGAUCACUGUCAAAGUCAGUGAUGAUGUAAAAAAUUUAUCCUUUAUUUCCCAGUGAUUGGGAUGUCCACUCCUGUUGGUGAAAGAUACAAUCAGGAAUAUUCUGUAUUGUUAUAAUUUCUAGUAUGUCCGUUAUACCUAUCUUCACACAAGGUGGAAGGAGAUUUUUCAUUGUGUCUGUUUUAUGUGUUUUCAUGGUUUAUAUCCUGAUGCCAGAGCAGUGCAGGUUUAUAUUGUGCUCCACUUAUAUCUGACUGGUAAAAAGCUGUUACUCUGAGUGUAUGGCUUAUUUAGACAGAAGGUUUUCAGUCAGGGCCGGAGACACACUGAAUCUCUGAAAUUUCAAAGUAGAUGGUACAAUAAAAACUGGGAGAAAACCCAUGUCAAGCUGGAAUAAAAAAGACAAUGUGAAGAGAGAUUGUGCUGUUGAGCUGUGUAAUUAAGCAGUAUCUGAUGCCUACUGUGUAAAGCUGAGGUUCUGGACAUAGGAGUGGUGUGUAACUGCAUGUCACCAGUUCUUUGGUAAAUGAAAAAUUAAAAUGCAUGUUAUCCUACAGUAUAUGUUCAUGGAAAUAUGAGAUGAUUAUCUAUUGCUUUCUUUUAAUUAUGAAAGGAUUUGAACAGAAAUCCUCUGCUAAUGAGGACAGAUAGGAGCAUAUCCCUCAUUGGUAGAUAGACAUGUUUUGUAUUACCACUAAGACAAGAAAUGUGAUGGGAUGCUAAACUCCCCCCAAAAAUGUGCGAACUGAACUGUAACUCUUGAGGACUUCUUUUACUGAAGAGUUCAUUCAUUACUAACAAGACCACUAUACUAAACUGCUCAUUCUAAUUGUGGAAAAA
Taeniopygia guttata (zebra finch) is the source of this 21065-nucleotide long non-coding RNA. RefSeq lists it as uncharacterized. The record is from RefSeq and is a predicted model, not a curated record. NCBI's taxonomy places the organism in Eukaryota, Metazoa, Chordata, Aves, Passeriformes, Estrildidae.